Molecule: unclassified non-coding RNA, 25 nt
Filed under: Mus musculus (house mouse)
Lineage: Eukaryota; Metazoa; Chordata; Mammalia; Rodentia; Muridae
Description: oocyte_clustered_small_RNA12534
Source: RNAcentral
UAAUGGCCCCCAAACCAAUUAGUCU